Molecule: long non-coding RNA, 10538 nt
Filed under: Hordeum vulgare
Lineage: Eukaryota; Viridiplantae; Streptophyta; Magnoliopsida; Poales; Poaceae
Description: long non-coding RNA (HVUL_LNC019989)
Source: RNAcentral
UGUGCAGACCCUAUGGGUUCGAGAACUAUGUAGACAUGCCCCAAGGUACUCCUCGGUCAAUAUCCAAUAGCGGUACCUGGAUGCCCAUAUUGGAUCCUACAUAUUCUCCGAAGAUCUUAUCGGUUGAACCUCAGUGUCAAGGAUUCAUAUAAUCCCGUAUGUGAUUCCAUUUGUCCUUCGGUAUAUUACUUGCCCAAGAUUCGAUCGUAGGUAUCCGCAUACCUACUUCAAUCUCAUUACCGGCAAGUCUCUUUACUCGUUCUGUAAUACAAGAUCCCGUGACUUACACUUAGUCACAUUGCUUCCAAGGCUUGUGUGUGAUGUUGUAUUACCGAGUGGGCCCCGAGAUACCUCUUCGUCACACGGAGUGACAAAUCCCAGUCUUGAUCCAUACUAACUCAACGGACACCUUCGGAGAUACCUGUAGAGCACCUUUAUCGUCACCCAGUUACGUUGUGACGUUUGAUACACACAAGGUAUUCCUCUGGUGCGAGUGAGUUUAUAUGAUCUCAUGGUCAUAGGAACAAAUACUUGACACGCAGAAAACUAUAGCAAUAAAACGACACGAUCAAUAUGCUACAUUCAUAGUUUGGGUCUAGUCCAUCACAUGAUUCUCCUAAUGAUGUGGUCCAGUUAUCAAGCAACAACACUUUGCACAUAGUCAGAAAACCUUGACUAUCCUUGAUCAACUGGCUAGCCAACUAGAGGCUUGCUAGGGACAUUGUUGUGUCUAUGUAUCCACACAUGUAUCUAUGUUUUCAUUCAAUACAAUUAUAGCAUGGAUAAUAAACGAUUAUAUUUAAACAUGAAAUAUAAUAAUAACUAUUUACCAUUGCCUCUAGGGCAUAUUUCCAACAAUGUGAUGCCUAUAUACAUAUGAUCAUUGAUACGUCUCCAACAUAUCAAUAAUUUAUGAACUAUUCAUGUCAAUAUUCUACAACUUCCAUAUACUUUUGGCAACAUUUUAUAUUAUUUUUUGGGAAUAACUUACUUACCGAAUGUCCUUUGCCAUUUUUAUUUUUUGUGUGUUUUUGUUUCACGGAAAUUCCAUAUCAAACGGAGUCCAAAUGUGAUAGAAAUUUAGGGAGAUUUUUUUAUAAUAUAUGUCAAUUUUGGGAAAAAGAAUCAAUGCCACAUGAUGCCCGAGGCUCUCACACGACAACAGGGCAUGGCCAGGGGGGUGGUCACACCCUGAUGCCUUGUGGCUCCCCCUUAAGUCGGUUGGGGCCCUAAUUUCACCGCAAGAAAGAUAUUUCCCUGAUAAAAAACCCUCAAAAUUUUAGCCUGAUCGGAGUUAUGGAGCUCCGGAUAUUUAAGAAACAGUGAAGGGCCAGAAAACAGGAGAGAAACUAAGAGAGAGAGAUCCAAUCUCGGAGGGGGUGUUGCCCCUCCGGGAGCCAUGGUGGCCAAGGACUAGAGGAGUGAACCUCUCCCCAUCUAGGGAGAGGUCAUGGAGGAGGAAGCCUAAUGGGGGACACUCUCUCCCCCUCUCUUCCGGUGGCGCCGGAGUGCCGCCGGGAGAACCAUCGGCGCAGUGAUCGUCAUCAUCAACAUCACCGUCUCCAUCACCUUCCCUAGUCUAUCUAUGGCGGUCCACUCUCCCGCACCUUUCUGUAAUCCCCUACUUGAACAUGGUGUUUCAUGCCACAUAUUAUUAAUCAAUGAUGUGUUGCCAUGUUAUCAUGUUUUAGUAGAUUUAUGUUGUCCUUUGGGUUGAUUAAUUUGAGUGUAUGUUUUAUUUUGGUGUUGUCCUAUGGUGCCCUUCGUGUCAUGCACACGUGAGGGAGUUCUUACUGUAUGGUUCGCAAUAUGUUCAUGAUUUUAUUGUAGUGGGUGGCUAGAGUGACAGAAGCUUACACCCGAGUAAGGGAGUUGUUUGCAUAUGGGAGUAAAGGUGACUUGAUGUUUAAUGUUAUGGUUUGGUUUACCUUAAUGAUUUCUAGUAGUUGUGGAUGCUUGCUAGAGAUCCAAUCAUAAUUUCAUAUGAUCCAAGUACGGAAAGUAUGUUAGCUCAUGCGUCUCCCUCAUAUAAAAUUGCAAGAAUGGUUACCGAUCUUGUUAUAAAUUGCCUAGGAUGAUUCCGCACACCAUACCAUCAUUAUUCCACACUCGCUAUUUGUAAUAUAUUGUGAUAUAUUCUAACUUUAUUUAGCAAGAUACUAUUUUCAUAUUUUAGUUCUACAAUAUCAUGCAAACAUAUCCUCUCUAUGCCCACAACGCGGAUUUAUUUCUCGUUACAAGAUAGAAGCAAAUGUUUGGUGUAUGUAGAGUCGUAUCGGUAGCAGAUAGGACUUGAGAGAAUAUUGAUCUUACCUUUAGCUCCUUGUGGGUUCAACACUUCAUACUUACCACUUCCAUAUUUGUAAAUUGCUACGAUGAUUCAUUCCACUUGGGGAUUCUCAAGCUCUAUAAGGCUUGCCCAACUGAUCCCUUUGCCCUCCCACGUAUUGACCAGAUCAUUGACGCAACGGCGGGUUACGAGAGUCUGUGCUUCCUGGAUGCUUAUUCUUGUUAACAUCAGAUAAAGAUGCUGGUUGAAGACGAGGAAAAAGAAACUUUUAUCACGCCCUUUGGAGCUUUCAGUUAUGUAUCUAUGCCUUUUGGGCUCAAGAGUGCUCAGGUGACUUACCAGCAUCGUGUUCAGAAUUGCCUUCAUGGACAGAUUGGGCGCAAUGUUCAUGCUUAUGUUGAUGAAAUUGUGGUAAAAUCAAGGAAGAAGGAAACCUUGCUUGAAUAUUUGAAGGAAACCUCUGACAAUCUCCGGGUGUACAAGAUGAUGCUUAACCCGACCAAGUGCGUCUUCGGGCUAUGUGCAGGAAAACUACUAUGUUUCCUGGUUUCAAAGAGAGAUAUUGAAACUAACCCGAAGAAAAUUGUGGCCGUCACUUCCUUAUCUAAGCCGGCAUGUAUCAAUGACGUGCAACGCCUGGCAGGUCACAUUGCGGCCCUGAGCCGGUUCAUAAGUUGCGUGGGUGAAAAGGCGAUUUCUCUAUACCAAAUGAUGAAAAAGAGUGAUCAUUUUGUCUGGAGUGAUGCUGUUAAUGAGGCUUUUGAAGCACCUAAGAGCAGUUGGUUGAGUCGCCCGUCUUGGUGGCUCCGAUCGACAAAGAGCAUAUGUUCCUAUAUGUGGCGACUAAUAAUCGGGCCAUCGACGUGGCAGUUGUCGUGGAAUGCAAGGAGGCAGGGAAGGAGUGCCCAGUCCAACAGCCGGUUUAUUAUGUCAGCGAAGUCUUAUUAGAGUCCAAGCAAAGAUAUCCACAUUGGCAGAAAUUGGUGUUUGGAGUGUUCAUGGCUAGUCGCAAGUUAAAACAAUACUUCCUUGGGGAUCCAAUCACUGUUGUCAGUUCGGCUCCUCUCGGAGAUAUCAUCCAAAAGAGAGAAGCUAUAGGCCGGGUUGCUAAGUGGGCAACUGAGCUUGGGCCUCAUCAUUUGAAAUACGUGCCCAGGACUGCUAUCAAGUAUCAAGCCUUGGUAGAUUUCAUCAAUUACUAGACAGAGUUACAAACACCCGAGGAAAAACCACAUAAUACAUACUAGACGAUACACUGACGGAUCUAGACAAUUGGAAGGCUCGGGGGUUGGAGUUAUUUUAUCUUCCCCACAAGGUGACAAGUUUUGUUAUGUCCUCCGUCUUAUGCUUCCAUGUACUAACAUGUAGAUGAGUAUGAGGCUUUAUUACAUGGGAUCCACAUGGCUAAGGAAAUGAACUUAAGCAAACUCAGAUGCUUGGGCGACUCAGAUCUUGUGGCACAACAAGUUUCAAGGAAGCGGGACUCUAAAGACCGGCUCAUGGCGGCUUAUCUUCAGGCGGUGACUAACAUUGUGUUAGAGCAUAUAUCUCCAUAUGUGGUUUUGGUAAUUGAUGGCAAUUCCUAUGGACUAAUGGUUGCCUUAAGUUAUAUUUAUAGGAUUUGUCCAUAGGCACUUCUUGAAGUCCAUCUGUUGGGUUCAAGGAGUUUAUAUGAUGACCAAGAUGGUAUUCAAGGUAUUAUCCAAAGAAUGGUCAUAGAGACACAAGGUUGAUCAAGAUCUCAUACAAAGAGUAAAUCAAGAUGAUCAACACACAAAGCGUACAAGAUGUACCGAGAGGGAUCAAGUGAUCCCAUGGUAUGGUAAGCAUUGUCCAUUACGUGUUUGUGUACUAACCCAUGGUCUUCGUGAGAGUUCUAUGUGGGGGUUAGGUGUGUUUCCAUGGGCUUGCGUUAAAAGGAAGAUCUCAUACAACCCAUGAAGGAUGACGUCAAGUGGUGAUCGUCAUCAAGAUUGCGGUGUGCAAGUUCAAGUGGAUCGGCACGAAUAUAUCAUGCUUGAAGCUUGUCGUCCAUUGUGGUGGCAAUGGACUUGUGAAGAUAUGCUGAAGAGUGGCUCACCCAUAGUGAGUAUGGGGGAGCAAUCAACUAGUCUUCAUCAAGCCAACACAAUCAAGAAAGUUGGUCCAUCUUGAGGAAGCAAAGAUCAUCAUCAUCUAGCUCAAGAGGUCGAGGUACAAGGUAUAGGUUUGCCCUUGAUAGGUUUUCUGUUUUAGGAUAGAUUGUUGUACUAUCAAGGGGGGCUCUCAAGUGAGUAGCUUGAUCGUAUCGUUCAUUGAGAGCUCAAACCAUUUGCAUCCUUGCGUCAUACUUCUUGGUUCUUAUUUGGUGUUUCUCUUUGUGAUUUUUAGAGCUUAUGGUCAUCUUCAUGACAAGCUCGAGUUCAUCGAAAACGGAGUCCAUAUGCAUCUACUAUGAUGUUUUCGAUGUUGGAGUUUUUGCCGGUUCUUCAUUCAUAGAGGUCUCACAUCUCUAUAUCAUUGGCAUUUUCAUAUCUGCAAGUUUGGAUAGCUCUUGUCGUCCUGAAUCCAACAAGCUUGGGUUUGCUCGAUUCGGAGCUCGUAUGCGAAAGUUAUGGUUGUUUCAGUGGCGAGCGGUAGUACUGCUGGACCUAGCGGUAGUACCGAUGGCCCUAGCGGUAGUACUGCUAGAGCUGGCAGUAGUACCGCUGUCCUAGCGGUAGUACCGCCCCUGGUCAGCGAUAGUACCGCUCCAAGACUUUAGUACCGUCAUCCUUGCGGUUGUACUACGUCGGAAUUUUUGCGAAGACGUUCUUGGCGGUGGUUGGCCCGGUAGUAUCUUUGCGCUACCAUGGGCUCAGCGGUAGUACCGCUGCAGCCAGCGGUAGUACCGCUGCAGGGUCAGCGGUAGUACCGCUGGGCUCGGGCUGUAAGUGGGGGUAACGGUCUGAUUCCUUCCCCCACUAUAUAAAGGGGGUCUUCUUCCCCCUUGGCCUUAUCCAUAUCUUUAGCUCAUGUUCUUCCCCCAUUGUUGACCUUCUUCGAGCUUGCUAACUCUCAAUCCCUCCAAUGAUUCUUGCUAGUUCUUGAGGGAAAAGAAAGAGGAGAUCUAGAUCCACAUUUCCACCAAUCACUUUCUCCUCUAACUGAGGGGAACCCCUUGAGUCUAGAUCUUGGAGUUCUUCGUGUUCUUCUUCGUUCUUCCUCUCAUUUUCCUCCCUAGCAUUAGUUGCUUUGGUGGGAUUUGGGAGAGAAGGACUUGGGCACUCCGUGUGCCCUUGCCAUUGCAUUAGUUGCAUCGGUUUGAGUUCUCCACGGUGAUACGUGGAAGUGAAGUUUGAGAAGCUUAUUACCUUUGGUACUUAGUACCCUAGAUAUUGUUCUUCGUGGAUGCUUUGGAGUCCUAGAAGCUUGGUGGUGUCUCGAAGCUCAAUCAUUGUGGUGUAAAGCUCCGGGCAAGUGUCGGGGUCUCCAAUUAGGUUGUGGAGAUUGCCCUGAGCAAUUUGUACGGGUACCGGUGACCGCCCCCAAGGUUUUCCAUUUGUACGGGUUCGGUGACCGCCCUCAAGGGUCCCUUGGUGGAAUCACGGCAUCUUGCAUUGUGCGAGGGCGUGAGGAGAUUACGGUGGCCUUAGUGGCUCUUGGGGAGCAUUGUGCCUCCACACCGCUCCAACAGAGAUUAGCAUCGGAAAGGGUGUGAACUUCAGGAUACAUCAUUGUCUCCGCGUGCCUCGGUUAUCUCUUUCCUGAACCCUUUACUUAUGCACUUUACUUUGUGAUAGCCAUAUUGUUUAUUCUCAUAUAUCUUGCUAUCACUUAGUUGUUUAUCUUGCUUAGCAUAAGUUGUUGGUGCACAUAGGUGAGCCUAGUUGUUGCAAGUUUUGUGCUUGACAAAUUAAACGUUAGUUUUAUUCCGCAUUUGUUCAAGCCUAAACCGUAAUUAUUUUAAAGCGCCUAUUCACCCCCCUCUAGGAGACAUCCACAUCCUUUCACAUUGCUACUCACUUAAAAGGAUAUCAAGUGGAUCAUAUAGACCGAUGUCUUAAUGAGGCGCCAGAUGCUUUAUCGCGGUUAGGUUCUCAGCGUAAUCCGGUCCCCCCCCCCAAUGUGUACCAUUUCAACAGCUCAUCCAUCACUCCCGAGGCAUAUCACGUGUCACCACUCGACGGCCAUGGGCACACAAGGUUCUCCACGUUAGCGGACUUCAGCAUGGUUGCUCUGGGCAUGCCCUCGGGCAUCAUCGACCUCAAUGUCAUGUCGGGGUACAGUGGCGCUGGCUAGCCGCCCGACGGGAUGCAAAGGAAGUAGCUCCGGUCGCUCCCUUCGGCAAACAUGGCCCCCACAUGCAGGUUGUUUGACGAAAUGCCACUAUCGACGCCAACUAUCGAUGACCCUGACUAUGCGAUAUUCAUGGAGAACGUCGUCUUCGGGGGCCGUGGUGAGGACUUCCACGUCGAUGGCCAAGGCCAAGCUUUUGAUACCGAUGCAACCCAAAGCCAGGACGGUCGAGGCCGCUAUGAAGACACUCAAUUCGACGACCACUAUGAAGACACUCAAUUCGACAGCCAUGAGGACGACCAUGGAAAUUCUUGGCAUGAAGAUGAUGACUUGUAUUGUGUAGAUGAGAAAGAAGAGGUCGACAUUUUGGCAGAUCCAUUGGUGUUCAUGGACGAGCUCACCCAAAGGGCCGAGGCACAAAAGAAGAGGCAAAGCAUUCACACGUGAUCAUGCACUCAACUAGAGGACACGUUGAUUUGCGAGACUUGGAUGGAGAUAGGCCAAUAUCCUAUGAAAGGUUUUGAGAAAAAAGAUUCGUCUUUUGGAAGAGAGUUCGCAACACCUUUCAUGAGCGAAGGAAGUUUCCCCCCUACCAAUUCGCAAGCACACGACAUCAAUUAAAUCCAAAAGAGAUGGGGAUUCAUCCAACAAGAGUGCGACAAAUAUUGUUCCACGCUUGAGAGCAUUCAAGCCCGUCUCGUGAGUGGCCUAGGCAUUGGUGACUUGGUAUGAACCACUAGUUUUCUCGUCAUGUGUCCAUUCAUGUUGGCAUGCAAUUUAUGUUUUGAUGUACUUUGUGUCCUUCCAUGUUACAAUUGUGGCCGCAUCUUUGGUUGUGUAGGCGUUCCAAUCUUUGGAAGCCUUCAACGCUCGACACAAGAAUAAGUCCUUUACUCUCACGUAUUGUUGGUCGUUCAUCAAAGAUUGCCUCAAGUUCAAAGACCAAUAUGUUGCUCGUAAAAAUAAAGGAGGGAAGGCGGUUGUGGCUGACGAAGGAGGCUUACUCAAGAGGCCGAAGGGGAAUACAAUCUCAAAGGCCGAGGAGAAGUGUGAUGCAGCUUCUAUAGCCUUGCAAGGAACAUUGGAGAACAUGAUGAGCCAAAAGGAAGUGACGUAAUAGUGGAGGAGCAAAGGGAAGGAGGAUAAAAUAAAGAUCUACCUAGAUCUCCAAACGAAGAAGCUUGACAUGGAGGAGGUCGUGAAGAGGAGGAAGCUUGACAUCGAGGAGGCCUCUCAACUCAAGAAGCUCGAGAUCGAGGCCACCAAUGCCGAGAACAAAGCAACAGAGGUGGCACUCGUGUUCACGAGUGUCGACAAGAACAACAUUUCAUGAGAGACGAAGGCUUGGUUCGUGAACCGGCAGAAGGAGAUGUUCGCCCGCGACAACCCGAACUAGGUGAGAUCUUGGUCGCGACCGCCAUCCAUUUAAAAGGUUGGCUGGUGUGCCGGCCGCUCGCCUUGUUGACGGCACCAAAAACCUGUCCAUUUUGAAGGUUGGCUCGUGUGCCGGCCACUGGCUUUGUUGCCGGCCCAAAACUUGUCCAUUUUGAAGGUUGGUUCGUGUGCCCGCACUUGGCUUUGUUGCCAACGUGAAAGUUGGAUGACCAUUCUGUAGGCCGCUAGCUUUGUUGCCGGCCAGCAUGAACUCAUGUGAACACGGUCGCUCGCAUAAACUAUGCCCACAGCCAUUUAGCUACAUCCUUUAUUCUUUUCAUAUUUGUAAGCAGAGCGGACGAGAUGCGACCGAAAUGCAAUCGCGUGUUGGGCGCACGAGUGACGCAUCCACAAAUCCGGACACACAUUCUCCCAAUGCCAUUACAAACAAACAAAAAAUAGAUAAAAUGGAUGUCCGUUUGAGAUCGUGCAUUAGAGUUUCCCUUAGAUAAACUCCAACGCGCUCAUCCAUUUCGUCCGCGUGCGUCCGUUUGGGUCGCGGCGGACAAAAGUGACGGCCCAACGCGCCAACCCAAACCCAAAUCACGUCCGCUUCGCCUCCGCGCGGACCCAUUUUCAGCCCAAAAUUGCACGUGAAAUGCGUCGGUGCAAACGUGAAGCGGACGCGACACGCGCCUUCUCACGUCCAAGCCCAUCCACACGUGGCGCCCGGUCAAAGCCAACGGCAUCUUUAUUAACAACGAUCGCCCGCUGCAGUCCCACGCGUCAGCGACCCACUCGCGUCCUUUUUUAAUCCGAGCGUGAGGGGGGCUCAUCCUCUUCGAGAAGCCACCCCAUCCACAUCUAGCCACUCCUGCUCCCCCGCCGGCGGCAAACCCUAGCCACCACCACCAUGGGGUUCUUCCCCGCGAAGGACAAGGAAAAGUCCCUCGCCGUCCCUGUCUGCGCGUCGGAGUCUUCCCAUCCACCUCACCAGCGGGUCAACGUGCCGGUGCACCAGACGAGGUGGCAUUGGGAGCACCGUGUCCUCCUCCCCUACCCUGAUAUAAUGCUACCGCAUGACUGGCUGACGCUAGAGUAGUGGCGCAGCCCCGUCUACGUUGCAGACUCCCCGAUUGGUACGCUGGUUUGCUGGGAGCACGAUGAGCAACAUCGGCAUGGCGUCUGCGACGUGGCGGCUGGACCACUACCGCCCCUCGUCAUGCGCGAAGAGGACCAGAAGGCGGAGGCGGCGUACCAGAACGCGCUUGCGGCCAUCCUGCGCGCAAUCGAGGAGGGAGCGUGCCUGAAGGAGGAGGAGAAGGCCGCCUACGAGAAGGAGCUGGCGGAGGCCAUUGCGUUCUCCGCUGCCGACGACACACUCGUGCGGCCGUUGGCCCCGUCGUCCCCCUUAGGAGGGUGUACGCCUGGGACGGGGUGGUGCGCGAGUGGGUUAGCGCGCCACCCGUCUGGUUGGGUGCAACGCCGGAGCAGGAGGGGUCUACCUGGAACACUGGCGGCAGCGACGGGUGAGGAAGGAGGGCGAAGAGGCCCGAUGGAUCAAGUUGCUCGACUGCGAGGCUGAAGCCGAGGAGGAGCGUCGCGCUGCCCAGCAAGCGGCGGUGCAACCACCGACGGACGCGGUUGCCGUCGCCUGGGAGACGUCUUCCCUUGGGCUGGCCCGACGCCGACGCUCGUGCCGUCUAAAAAUGGGUCGUUGGUCGCGUUAGACGCAAGCGUCGACCCAAUUACAAAAGCGGAUACAAAUGUCCGUCGGACUAAUUCAAACAGAUAAAUACGAACAAAACACCGUUAGUUUAAAUCGACCUUGAAGUUACUCUUAAAUCCCGGAUGGAAUGAAGAUAUCACGAUCUCUAUAAUCAUUCAACCAUAUAUUGAUUUACGUGAGACACGAAUCUUUGAUUGAGUGAAUCAAGCUAGCAAUGAAGAAUAAAAGGACGAGGAAAGGUCGGCAGAUGGCGUGUAGCCCCGCAUGUCAUUCGCAGUCCAUCUAUCCGCGUCUGGAUAACUUCGUAUCGAAGUCAAGCACUGUUCCUUCAAUUUCUUUAAUCUGAGAGGAGCUCUGUUCUUAUGAUCUUAUCUACUUUCUCACCCUACCGCCUCCCUUCAGUACUCACACAAAACACCCUUAAAAUAAUAUUUUAUCACAUCGCGCACCAUCCCACACUUGCCCAACACGAGAGAAGCCUUACACGGCCCACCCAAGAAAAGCACAGGGCCUUUCUUGCAAAUUGUCCCCCGAUUUUUUCGGACGACGCAAACGAAAGGGAGAGAGAGGAGAGGAGAGGCGAGACGCCACCGAGAGAGGAGAGAGAGCCAUCAGCCAUGGGAGGAGGCGUCAUGCGCACCGCUGCGAAGGUCGGCCUCGCCGGGGGCGCCGCGGCGGCGGCGGGCCGCUUCCGCAACGUCGCCCCGUCCUUCGCCACGGCCCCCGCCGCCGAGGCCGCCGCGGCGGCGCCGCUGCUGUCCGCGGCCGGGGAGGUCCCCGCGGUGGCCCCGGCUGGGUCGCAGUGGGCGUCCUGGGAGGUGGACGACUGGGAAUUCGCGGACUGGAGGUCCGAGUCGGCGACGUCCGAGGCGGACGUGGCGGNNNNNN